UGGUGGAGUGAUUUGUCUGGUUAAUUCCGUUAACGAGCGAGACCUUAACCUGCUAAAUAGGAUAAUAGGUCAAGACCUACUAUUCCUUCUUAGAGGGACUCUGUGUGCAAGCACAGGGAAGUUUGAGGCAAUAACA
RNAcentral lists this ribosomal RNA (136 nucleotides) under uncultured eukaryote. RNAcentral describes it as "partial 18S ribosomal RNA". It matches the Rfam family "Eukaryotic small subunit ribosomal RNA", at positions 1299 to 1458 of the family's 1831-position model. The record is from RNAcentral.